This 86-nucleotide transfer RNA is filed under the name Phakopsora pachyrhizi. RNAcentral describes it as "tRNA-Gln". It matches the Rfam family "tRNA". Rfam says of the family: Transfer RNA (tRNA) molecules are approximately 80 nucleotides in length. Their secondary structure includes four short double-helical elements and three loops (D, anti-codon, and T loops). The record is from RNAcentral. Lineage: Eukaryota; Fungi; Basidiomycota; Pucciniomycetes; Pucciniales; Phakopsoraceae.
CCUGUCAUCGUCUAGUGGUUAGGACACCAGGUUUUGACCUGGUAAUUGACUUCCUGGUAACCUGGGUUCGACUCCCAGUGACAGGU